This 440-nucleotide ribosomal RNA is filed under the name uncultured bacterium. RNAcentral's name for it is "partial 16S ribosomal RNA". It matches the Rfam family "Bacterial small subunit ribosomal RNA", at positions 338 to 795 of the family's 1533-position model. The record is from RNAcentral.
CCUACGGGAGGCAGCAGUAGGUAAUAUUGCUCAAUGGGGGAAACCCUGAAGCAGCAACGCCGCGUGGAGGAUGAAGGUUUUCGGAUUGUAAACUCCUUUUGUUAGAGAAGAUACUGACGGUAUCUAACGAAUAAGCAACGUCUAACUCCGUGCCAGCAGCCGCGGUAAUACGGAGUGUGCAAGCGUUACUCGGACUCACUGGGCGUAAAGUGCGCGUAGGCGGGAUAGAAAGUCAGAUGUGAAAUCCUAUGGCUUAACCAUAGAACUGCAUUUGAAACUGUUAUUCUAGAGUAUGGGAGAGGUAGGUGGAAUUCUUGGUGUAGGGGUAAAAUCCGUAGAGAUCAAGAGGAAUACUCAUUGCGAAGGCGACCGGCUAGAACAUAACUGACGCUGAUGCGCGAAAGCGUGGGGAGCAAACAGGAUUAGAUACCCGUGUAGUC